CGCUCAUCCAGAGGGGUGGAGGGACCGGCCCUGUGAAGCCCCGGCAACCCUCCCGGUGCUGACGCUCUCGCGACCUGCGAGGCCGGCCGGGACAGGGUGCCAAUUCCGGCCCGCGACCAAGGUGGCGCGGGACAGAUGAGGA
RNAcentral lists this non-coding RNA (142 nucleotides) under Thermomonospora curvata. RNAcentral's name for it is "SAM-I sequence". It matches the Rfam family "SAM riboswitch aptamer (S box leader)". Rfam says of the family: The SAM riboswitch is found upstream of a number of genes which code for proteins involved in methionine or cysteine biosynthesis in Gram-positive bacteria. The SAM riboswitch acts at the level of transcription termination control. The predicted structure consists of a complex stem-loop region followed by a single stem loop terminator region. RNAcentral also lists the same sequence under 1 other name. Lineage: Bacteria; Bacillati; Actinomycetota; Actinomycetes; Streptosporangiales; Thermomonosporaceae. The record is from RNAcentral.